Molecule: transfer RNA, 61 nt
Filed under: Aphelenchus avenae
Lineage: Eukaryota; Metazoa; Nematoda; Chromadorea; Rhabditida; Aphelenchidae
Description: tRNA-Met
Source: RNAcentral
AAUAGAAUAGGAUAAAAAAUCCAAAAGAUUCAUAUUCUUUAGAUGCUUAAAGCUUCUAUUA